GUGUUAGUUGGAAGAUAGGAUGAGUUCCGAAUGACUCUUGUAUAUUACCCACAAAUGCUUUAAAAUGGCUAUCAGUUGAAACUAAUGUAGGCAUUCUCAGAAUAGCUCCAUUAUAUACUUAUCACCACUGGGAUUCCGCCACUAGCACUAUGCAGAAUUCGGGGAUUCCCGCAAAAGAGCUUGACGCUGUCGCGGGGGAUUCCCCAUACCAUACUCGCGAUCUUUUAAUAAAUGAUCUAAGUACAAGUGUAUAAGUGUAUGUUCUUUAUCACAUAAUUUUUUUUUAUUUUACUUUCGAUGGGGUGCCACCCAAGGUAGCUACGCCACUGCCAACUAUUCACAAGAUUAUAAUACUUACAAAACAGCUUGAUGAAGAAUACAGUGCACAACAGCAACUUCAUCAGGUUCUAUGAGACAGUGAUCCACUAUAUCAAUUAUCUAACAUGAUCAAAAUCUAAUGAAUUAUUAUAAGUUCUUUACUAUUAAAUUAGCUUUUUUAUAUGGUUAAUUGAUACAAACCUCAUCCAUAUGU
Pieris rapae (cabbage white) is the source of this 532-nucleotide long non-coding RNA. RefSeq lists it as uncharacterized. The transcript is spliced from 3 exons. The record is from RefSeq and is a predicted model, not a curated record. NCBI's taxonomy places the organism in Eukaryota, Metazoa, Arthropoda, Insecta, Lepidoptera, Pieridae.